Long non-coding RNA from Zophobas morio, 1076 nucleotides. RefSeq lists it as uncharacterized. The record is from RefSeq and is a predicted model, not a curated record. The transcript has 4 exons. Lineage: Eukaryota; Metazoa; Arthropoda; Insecta; Coleoptera; Tenebrionidae.
UCUAGUCUUCAGUCCAUGUGACGCUUAUAUACCAAAGUAUAGUAUUAUAGUUCGUGCGCCCACUAGUAAAUUAAGCCCAAGGACUAAUCUAAUCUUCAGAAAGUGGGAACGGCCUAUACAAUUCGUACAAGAAAUUCAGCUAAUGUUGGGUCAUUAAAAACUCGAGUGAAAAUUUUAAUUUUUUUUUGAAUUUUUGUGAUUGCAAUAAGCCGAGUGUGCAAUGCUUUUUUUCUUAUGCUUGGAACGUUAUUCAAUUUUAAAAGUUUGUAAAAGUCCUGCAGUUUAUGUAACCUUUUGUCCCUUCAGCGGUCAAAAAUUUGGUACCCAAAAAGAAGAAAGUAAAAAUACUAUUAUUUUAGAAAAUAAGGAUGUUGGCUCGAAAAAGGAUUCGAAUAUUAUUACCGUGGAUAUAGGUAAAAGUCAUACUCCCGCCCCUAGCUUGCAAAGAAGCCGAAAAGAAUCUUUAUCAACACAUGAACUAAACAUAAUUAAGCAAAUAUUUAAAAAGAAUUUCCACGAAAUUUUUUUUUCACUUUUUGGGUUGGACACAACUAACAAUACGGAUAAGUUACGAGCGCUUUAUUCGUACGUAUCGAAAUAUGAACUCCCAUCUUUAGGAAGAGAGAAAGAGAUUCAUGAUUUAAGCUGCGUAGAUGGCAAACUUUUAAAUAAAUCUGCACUGGGUAAAAAAAUCUCAAAUUUAACUCUUGAGGACAGUCGUUUACUUUUAGAAGAACUUUUGCUAAAAAAAUCGCCUCAAGAGCGAACUUUAUUUUUUACUAAAAUCUACAAAACUUUCCCGGUAAAUAAAUAUACCACAAAGCCGUCCUCGUCGCCGCCAGCGAUUGGCUGGAAUAUUGAAUCGGACGAUCUCUUGUUUCGCGUGGUUUAUAGGCAUCCCGAAACGAAAACGAAAUCUCCAUUUGUGGCUGCUGCGCUAGAGCUGUUCGAGGGAGAAGUAAAUUCGGAGUUGGUGGAGGCUUGCGAAGUAAGAUAUUACACGCUUAUGCGAGUAGGCUUUUCUUUGAAAGAAGGAUAAAGCCUAUUUUAAAUUUUUAUUCUUUUGAGUCCAAAUA